This 6031-nucleotide long non-coding RNA is filed under the name Homo sapiens (human). RNAcentral's name for it is "HSALNT0323896". The record is from RNAcentral. Lineage: Eukaryota; Metazoa; Chordata; Mammalia; Primates; Hominidae.
UAAAGAGACCUAUAUCAUCUAAAUCAUUUCCAAAAAAAUCCAAAUUUUAAGAAGGUAAAUAAAAUAAUUAUGAAAUUAACCAUCUCAUUAUGGUUGAUGUGUUGAAAUAUUUUAUUUUAAAUAGAAAAAAAAACCCAUGAGUUUAACAUACCCUGUCUCCUUUAUAAUCUUGGGCAAGUAAUUUAAGCUCUCUGACCUCAGUUUUCUUAUCUAUAAAGCAACAACAAGAUUUGUUUCAUAGAAAUUUUUGGAAGAUUAAGUAAAAUGGUAUCUACAAAGUGGUCAGCAGAGUGAUAAAAGCAGGUGAUCGGUAUUUUAAUACUAUAUGUGGAAUUUUAAAAACAGUUAAAAUUGUACAUUCAUCCUACAUUAGGUGACCUGGGGUAUAUUUUUAUAUUAUAAACUCUUAUUUUAUCAUCUCUAAGUUAUCAUUGAUUUUAUGAUGCACUAUUACUUUGUGUAUCACUAAGAAAAAUAAUAACUGUCAAACUAUGACACAAUGCUCAGAUGCCACCGUUUGUAAGAUAAAUCCAAAUUUCAAAAGGGCUAGAAUUUGAGAAGCACGCAUCUUAAAAUGAUUACAUAUAGAGUUCUAGAUUUCUUAUUUUAAAUUAUAUGUAGGAUACAUUUUAACAUAGUUGACAUUAAGUUCUUAUUAAAGUUCUACAUGAAGACAUGUCCUGUUUUAUAUGUCUGAAAUAUUAAAAAGGAUACAUGAUUAUAUUGUAAUUUUUAUAGAAAUGGUUCAAUCCCACUAUGAUGUUCAUCAGGUCAUAGAUUUGCUUACUUCAUCCUCCCAAGUAGAAGUAAAUUCUUUAAGGGCAAGGAUCUUAUCACGAAUUGCUAUACAACAUCUCUAUCAUUCAGCACCUAGACUUAAUUUAUAGUAGAUAUUCCAUACAUAUUUUAAUUGGUUUAUGAAAGUGUCUUCAUAGACACUAAAAUUAUAGUCAUUUAACAGUGAUUAAAUUGUCUCAUAUUAGUGUUUUUGUUUUUGCUUGUUUGAAUUUGUUCAUUAAAUAUUGUACCAUACAUGAGACAAUUGAUAUUUCUUCUUAGACUUGAACUUGGUGACAGACCCCAGACCCUAUUGAUUUCUAUUUACUCAAAUAAAUGCAACACUUGGUGAUUAGAGAAACACGGUAACUGUUUCUUUGUGGAUGAACAAAUGAUUUUGACUUUAGAAUGCCUCUGUGUCAUUGAGAGCCAGACAUGAUAUCAAGCAUUGCCUAAGCAUACCCCUGAAAUGAUGCCUAAUCUCUUAUUUUUAUCUGGUUUCCUAGGAAGCGGUGGCUUUGUCUUCACAUUUUGUGUAGCCAUACUGUUAAAGCCUGCUGGAUUUUCAGGGGCCAGUAAGUAGUCUUUAGUAAUACUAGUUGUCAUAAUUAUAUUUUCAGCUUGAUGGAAGGAAUAUAUUCUUGUAAUGCCAAAUUAUUGUGUUUGAAAAUUAUUCAUAUUGCCUUACCUGUGUUUCCCAAUGCUAGAAUUAAAAAUUUGAAAUUAUAACCUAACCAUAAGUCAGUAAUAACAGAGGAUAGUUUAGAGAGAAAAGGUUUGGUAUUUGGGGUCACAAAUCUUGAGUUUGAUUUUCAUCACCUUCCUCCGUUGUGACAUGGACCAGGUCAUUCAACUUGAGGUGAGACUCAAGUGAGAUGCAUGUACAUUUGUUAGGUAAGCUGUAAGUUGUAACAUACAACUAUAUAUUUGGAUUAUAAUAGUGGCAAACUGCUUAUUUUUCUCUUAGACAGAUAUAUAAAUGAUAAUUUGAACAUGGUUACAAAACGUAAAGUUACCUCUAAUUUUGGUACAAACUCGACUUUUCCAACUGCAGUGAAACUCCAGUACAAACAGAUUAUGUCAUUGAAGCUUCAUAUAUAAAUAUAAUUAUGUUAUGUACUUUAAUGAUUUCAAACGAAUAAAGUCUUUCUAAGAUGAUCUUCUCAAUGUAACAUGAUCCAUGAUAUUUUUGAAACUCUUGAAAAGGAAAAAAAAAUUGCCUGAGGAAGUGAAACAGUCAGUUUUCAUAUUGGCAUGCUAUUUCAUGACCAUCAGGUGAAAACUUUUCAGGUUUAAUGCUUUAUAAUUCUCCCAGCUGAAGCUUUAGAACUUCAAAGCACUGUAGAACAUUUCAAAUUUCUCUUCUGCCCAUGAGAAAACCCUUUGCAUUGAAAGUUGCUUUCAACUGGAAUCCUACAUUUGGUAUUACACAACAGUGACAUAUUUUUACGAGAUUAAAAUUACACACCAAGAAUGCUAAGUUGCCCAAGCAAAACCAUUUCUACUAUUAAAAAUGUUCCCACUAUACACUAUGAAGAGCUAUGACCUUUUCUUGUCCGUAAAUAAUGCUUACUAUAAUAAAUGUAAGAACCAUUUAUAAAUUCCAUAUUUGCCUAAGAAAUACCCAUCUUCUAACCACCUGUAAUUUACAAAGAGGAUUUACUUAAGCAUAAUUAUGUUUCCUUUAACUAGUAAACAAUAAAUCUACCACUGAUUGUAAAGACAGGCGAUCAGUGGGUAUUAUGAAGAAAAUGACAUGAAAAUCAAUAUGUAAUUCCUGGGAAAAGGGCACACUAUACUUUUAAUUUGAAAUCUACCAACGGCUAAGUCAUGAAUAUAAAACUUGCCUCUGUCAAAAUAAUUUGUUUGCUGUAAAACUAGGAAUCAUCCUUGGUUAUCUAAUACUUCAAGAAACAGUGUAUUAGCCCCUCUCAGAAUCUGUGUGACGCUGGCCCCCUUUGGCAACUAAAAGAGCUCUUUGAACCAUAGAACAGAUGUAAUGAAAAUUGGUUCCAUUAAAUGCAGCUGGUAAAUUACAAACUGAGAAAUUAAUGCGCCAUACCACGACUCUAGGGGCUAAAAUGAAUCAAGGUGUGGUUGCCAGAUGCUCACGUUUCAUCACCACCACCCCCAAUAAAAACAUCUCUGUUUAUAGAUUUGUUUACUAGAACAUAAAUUAUUCAUUUAGGCAAUGCAAAUUAUGAGAUCAUGAUGAGGAUUAAUCCACUAACACAAUAAUUGUGUUAUAUUCAAGUAAUAAAAUUUUAAAAGAAAUAAAACCUACACCAUGUAAUUCUUAAACACUCCUUUAGCUUAGGAAAUGCACUGGAUUUCCAGGAAUACUCACUAUCCUAUGAUAUGCUGUCUCUGAAUUCCAGUGGGAAGGGAAAGCUGAUUUGAUACCAUCCAUAAACAGCAUGCUCCUUUGUUGAUCUCAAUUCAAUUUAUUCCAACUUGAUGUGCUGCUGAUGGCUCUACUAGUAGAACCUGACAAAAGUCCAUUUAGCAUCUGUUUUUGAGGUGCUCUUCAAUGGUUCUGAGUAGUCCUCUUGAGUCAUUAGCUAAACAUUGUUUCAAAGAACUACACUUGCAAGAACCCCCCUGUGAAGACUUGAGGGGAGGGAACUGAAAGCAUAUUCCUAGGUAAUUCAGGCAACCCCUGGGAUAUUUCUCCCCUCCUUUCCCUUCUUAAAAUAAAUAAAUAAACAAAUAAUUGCUGGAGGCUGGGUUUUGUUAGACUUCUAUUGCAUUGCAGGUGUACAAGUAAAACAUUCUGGAACUAAGAUGGUUCAACUUUGCUUAUUUGAAAAAAUCUAGAUUUCUUAUUAGCCAUUUAAUGUAGCUAGUUGGUUCAUUAUUUUCAAAGAAAAUGAAAUUUAGUCAUUUAAAACAUGUUUUUGUAGUAACUAAUUCGGUUCCACAGUGGAAGAUAGAGGAAAUGAAUAGAAAGGGUUCAAAAGGGGAUAGAAUUAUUGGCAAAAUUUGAUUUUCUAAGCAGAAUAAUAGGUAUAUGGGUAUUAUUGCACUUUAUUUUUUGUAUGUCCCAAAUGCUGCAUAAUAAUAUUAAAAUUUAAAAAUGUUUUAAUGGGCUUAUAGUAAAAAAUGUUAUGAAGAGAAAAAUUUUUGGGGGGUGGGGGUCAUUAUUAAUAUCCUAAUUUUCUCCCUCACUGAAGUAAUUUUGAAUUUUCUGGGAUUCAAACAGAGAACAAAGAUAUACUGGAUUAUUUGGGUAAAUGUUUGAGUGUUCUAUUUUUCUUCACCUAAAAUAUGUGGCCACAUACAUAUACACCCUGAGUGUUUUAUUUACAUAUAAUAUGGAAUUCAUUUUCUUCAUACCUUCAUGAUAUAAAGCUAUUUUGUAAUCCACAAAAAUAGCCUGGACAAGAAUAUGACAUAGUUUGAUUUAGGAAUUGCAACAAUAAAUAAUGAUCUAAUUGCGAUAAUAAUGUAGUCCCAUUUUCUUAAACUAAACUUUGUAUACACAAAUGAUUUUGUAUUGCAUUAACAUGUCCCUCUCGUAUUCUUUUAAAGCAGCUGUUAGGCACACAAUAAGUGAGUACCUUUAAUUCGUAUACACAAAGAAAAGUGUUAUAGUAAAAUGAAAAACAUAUACAUUUUAAGCACACGUGAUACACACCACACAUUCUAUAGUAACUAGUUACUGUGUGUAGGUUGGGGUGGCCUAGUUACUUUUCUGUCCAAUACAACACUAUUCUAAUUAGAGCACUGCAUCAUACAGAAUUACACUACUUCCAGAUAAAGAACUUUUUGUAAAGUGCACAGAUAUUGCAAUAUGCAUGCUGUAUGCUUUAUAGCUGUUAUAAGCAUGCAGCAGUGACAAUUUUCCAUUGUUUUAUAGUAGCAUUAUUUCCACAUACAGAGACAUACACACUAAACGCAUGCAAUUGCCCGCAUAUUCGAUAUGCUUUACAAUACCUAUAUUUCACCAUUAGCAAUUUGUCCUUUGAAUCAAAUUGAAAUUCUUUUUGAAGUACAGAUAUGUUAUUUUCAUACUUCUACAAAAGGUCACGUUUCUAGAUGAGUAAAAACAAGUUGGUCAUAUCUUGAAAGCUCUGAAAGAGUAAGUAAAAGUCUAUGCAUACCUAAGCAUUCUUUCUUCCUUAUAGGUAUUCAUUUGAGAAUUUUUUAGAAGAGGUUUUGAUGUGUGUGGUAAUUAAUUGAAAUAAAUGAAAAAUCUGCCUUAUAUCCAGACUAAAUUUGCUUCAACAGCUGCUGAUCCUCAAGCUCUGAAUGUCAGCCAAUUAGUGGAGAAGUUUUCCAUGGCUGCUGCCCUAACCAGGCUUCCUGUCUGACAGCCCCAUUCUCAGCCUCAACCAGGGAGUUGAUUAACUGUGGGAUGAGGAACUUGCAGAUACUGAGGGCCAACUGUUUUAUAUCUGCUAUAUGGACAUGAGAAAGGCAAAGAAUAACAAAAGUGAAAUCAGUGAUUUCAAAUAAUUAUCUAAGAGGUGCUUAACAAUAGCUUAUUCCAACAAAGAGCUACACUCGAGGCUAUUAAUAGAGCAAGUAUUUGGAACAAUGAGAUGCAGAGAGCACCCAGCUUCAGCUGAUGGCUCUGAGGAAGACCUCGAUUUUUACAGGUGAUACCAUUUGUGCAGGGAUACUUCCAAUUAUUUAAUAUUUUGUUUUAAGAGUAAAAGAAGAGACAAAGAAGGUAUAUGAUUAUAAUAGCAAGAAAAUAAGCAUCACAGUGAACAUAAGGAAUCUCCCAAGUUCCAAGAAGUGUGUCUGGCAUACAGUAGGUAAUUUAUUAAUAUGAUAAUUCAUGAAUUAAAACUUAAAUGGUAAUUUAUUAAUGGAAAAGGAAUAAAUGGAAAUAUUUUUAUCCUCUUGUACAAGUUUGAUCUGUAAACACUUUGUGUAAAUCAAUGCACAGUUGUGUCACUUUUAGAACAAUUUUCCUAAAGUUGAUGGUGAUGAAUUCUAGGGCUGUGUAAGAAGACAAAUGAUCUCUGCCCCAGCAGGAAAAGUCUAGCUCUCUUUUUGUACAGAAAGGAGAGAAUGGAGCUCGUCAGUACUACUGGAUAGUUUUGUUGCCACUCAUUCUUUUCAAAAAUGGUGUAUUUAUAAGUGACAAUUUGUCCCAAUUAUUUCAAGAUAGACUAAAAAAAAAAAAAAUCUAACACUAAAUGGCAAAACUUUCCAAACAUUAAAUCAUAAGAACAGGCAGAGUGUGAUGACAAGAAUAAAAAAGAAGGGCCGGGUGCAGUGGCUCAUGCCUGUAAUCCCAGCA